Molecule: long non-coding RNA, 894 nt
Organism: Dermacentor silvarum
Lineage: Eukaryota; Metazoa; Arthropoda; Arachnida; Ixodida; Ixodidae
Exons: 3
Source: RefSeq, a predicted model, not a curated record
UGGCAUUCCUGCUACCUCCUGCUACCAGCCAUGAUUCACAUCGACAGCCAGCCUAUUCCAAGGAAGGAGAGGAAAGGUGCUUCAGGUCCGGUUCUCGCUCCGCCACGCGGGCCUGCCCGGCAGAUUGGGCGGGCAGCAAAAAAAUACCACUACCGAGGGAUCAAGUGCGUAUGCGUCUACGGCGGUGGCAGUCGGCGAGAGCAGAGUCUUCGACAUUGUCAUAUCCUGUAUAUGUGGCUACCUUCAACAUCGGCAUGUUUAAAGCACGUUGACGCUUCUGAGUCGUGGCAACUAGGGCCAUUGGAGACUUCCCACCAAAAAAAAUAAGCUGAAUGCACUUGGAAAGCACAUGUCCAGAGGUGGAGGGAAAAGUUGCUCGUUGCCAUCACCCAAACUGCCACCGCCUCCUCCCCGCCGGAAACCACCACCUCGAAGACCAUGGCAACAUCCUCCCUCGGAACAGGCUGGCUGCCGAUGGGAAUCAUGGCUGGCAGCAGCAAUGCCAGAGUCAAAAAUUUUUAAUUAUCGUAAAAAUUUUUAAUUAUCGGUGCGAGAGAGGCCCAGCGCUUCUUUGCAUCUUCGUCGCUCUUGGCAAGCAGCUUGUCCCAGUUGAGCAAAGGCGGCGGUUCUUCGCUUUUGCUGGAGCAUGCUGGUUCUUCCGGCGGAUGGACGAUCGCGUCGAUGAGCUCGCGGGCCUUGCGACACGCCUCUUCGGGGUCCGAGAGCUUGAUCUUGGUCUCGAAGUAAUUAUCUGCGUCGUCUUUCUUGACCCAGAUGUACGCACCACUGGAAUCCUGAAGCUCGUGGAUCCUGGAACCUCCUUUGCCAAUGAUCCUGGCGACAUCUUUGACUGGCACCACGAUCACUUCAGCAUCUGGGCGCGAUGCAUUGGGU